Long non-coding RNA from Empidonax traillii (willow flycatcher), 150 nucleotides. RefSeq lists it as uncharacterized. The transcript is spliced from 3 exons. The record is from RefSeq and is a predicted model, not a curated record. NCBI's taxonomy places the organism in Eukaryota, Metazoa, Chordata, Aves, Passeriformes, Tyrannidae.
CUUAAGUGAAGUGUGUAAAUAUCUGUCUGCUUAAAAUGAAACUGGUGGGCACUGUGGCUGGGCGGAGCAGCAGGACUAGACGUGGGGACAGCAGCCUUUGUGAACCUUAUAGAAACAGUUUUAAUUUGGGGGGAGACCCCUUGCAGGGAU